This 1162-nucleotide long non-coding RNA is filed under the name Lonchura striata (white-rumped munia). RNAcentral's name for it is "domestica (Bengalese finch) lncRNA (ENSLSDG00000003185.1)". The record is from RNAcentral. Lineage: Eukaryota; Metazoa; Chordata; Aves; Passeriformes; Estrildidae.
CUUUUAUUUUACUCCUUGAUUACUGUCUCUCGUUUUUCUUCCCUCCCUUUGCAGCCAGUCCAGCCAGAUGGGUUUCCAGGCUUGGCUGCCCCUGCCAUUGCCAAGGCAGCUGGUGGUGUUCGGGCUGGGAGACUGGAGCUGUUACUCUCCGGACACGAGCAUCGCGGUGGAUGUGCUGGUGUCCCCAGGCGUCGCACCACAGCGGGUCGGCACGCUGGAGCCCACCCGCAGGUCUCUGGUGUGGGAAGAUCACUGGAGAACAGAUAUUUUCAUGGCCUCGUUGAAAGAGAUGGACAAAGGCAACCCUGUGAGGCUUGUUCUGACUGUCAAUGGACAGGUAAAAGGAUUGACACUUUCCUCUCUUCCUGUCCCAGGUUCCAAAGGUUGUCACUUGUCAGCCCCAGAACCUCCUCUCCCUGCUCUCCUUUUUCUUCUCUGCUACUCCAAGGUAGAGCUGACAAACAUAGAUCUGUUAAUGCAUAUCUGUGCAGAACCUGAAACCUGUGUGAUGCUCCAGGCCUAUUCUCUGAACAGUUUUGCCAUAACACCUUGUGUGUUGCAGGAGACGGGCAGCUGACAGCUGUUCACUUCCAGUCCCACUAUCUCCUGAGUCUUUGGUACUUACAGAGUUGUUUCACCUUGAGCUGAAGCCACUGGAUUUAGCAUCUUGCAGUGUCUGGCUUUCCUUUUAUGUGCUUGUUUUGUUGGUGUGGGACAUAAAAGGCAGGUUAUUCCAUUGCAGGAAAUCUGUCCCUUGCAAGACAUGUUUUUGCUCAUCCUUUGUGUGGAUGGAGGUUAACACCCUUAGGGCCUUUUAUUCUGUUGCUGUUUCUGCUGCAGCUGCUCCGAGGUGUCUCCAGCAGUACACCUGUCCAUCCCUUCCUUGUACCAGAAACCACCCAGUCACCAGUGCUCCCAGCAGAUGACAGGCCCCUUGGCCAGGACCUGGAGGAUCCUACUGGGGUAUGUGUAUUUUGGAGUCACCUUCUUGUUAUUUCACUUUUUUUCUUAGUAUCUUCUCCCUUACCAGUAGCCAUUCAGUUGAUGUCUAACUGAAACAUUUGCUGCUAUUUUUUCAGUGGAGAUAAGGUAAGCAAGUUCUGGAGGCAAAGUUUCUCUUGUGCUGAAUAAAGAUAUAUUCUCCAUUGAAAUGCCUUUUUAA